GAGGAAGGCUGGGGGCGUGCUUACCCCAUGCAAGUCGAACGGAAAGGCCCUGCUUUUGUGGGGUGCUCGAGUGGCGAACGGGUGAGUAACACGUGAGUAACCUGCCCUUGACUUUGGGAUAACUUCAGGAAACUGGGGCUAAUACCGGAUAGGAGCUCCUGCUGCAUGGUGGGGGUUGGAAAGUUUCGGCGGUUGGGGAUGGACUCGCGGCUUAUCAGCUUGUUGGUGGGGUAGUGGCUUACCAAGGCUUUGACGGGUAGCCGGCCUGAGAGGGUGACCGGCCACAUUGGGACUGAGAUACGGCCCAGACUCCUACGGGAGGCAGCAGUGGGGAAUAUUGCACAAUGGGCGGAAGCCUGAUGCAGCAACGCCGCGUGCGGGAUGACGGCCUUCGGGUUGUAAACCGCUUUCGCCUGUGACGAAGCGUGAGUGACGGUAAUGGGUAAAGAAGCACCGGCUAACUACGUG
RNAcentral lists this ribosomal RNA (468 nucleotides) under uncultured bacterium. RNAcentral describes it as "partial 16S ribosomal RNA". It matches the Rfam family "Bacterial small subunit ribosomal RNA", at positions 31 to 507 of the family's 1533-position model. The record is from RNAcentral.